Molecule: long non-coding RNA, 1021 nt
Organism: Triticum dicoccoides
Lineage: Eukaryota; Viridiplantae; Streptophyta; Magnoliopsida; Poales; Poaceae
Exons: 3
Source: RefSeq, a predicted model, not a curated record
CCCGCCUCCUGACCUCCAGUAUCUCGCAGAUCCGAUCCACCCACCCACAACUCCCAUUGCCGCCGGUGUCCCGCUUCCAGGCAUCGUCGCCGGCCUCCUCCUUCCACGCGCCGCCGCCGGCCUCCGGCUUCCACGCGUCGUCACUGGCCUCCUCCUUCCACGCGCCACCGCCAGCCUCCCCCUUCCACGCGCCGCCGUCGCCUCCCUCUUCCACCCGCCAUCGCAGGCUCCUCGCCUUCCACCCGCCCUCGUGGCAUACUUGCUUCCACCAGCCGCCAUCGGAGCCACCCCAGCACCUCCACCGCCGCCACGCGCGACGCGCCUCCUCCCAAGGACGCGGUCGCCCCCCAAGCCUCCUGCCGGCGACGCCCCACUCCUCCCGGCAAUGCGCCUCGCCGCCUCAAAGUGCAGGCCGUUCACCUCCGCCACCCCAGACCGUUCACCUCUGCCACCACUGGCUGUUCAACGCGGCCUCGACAACCCGGCGCAUCAACACCCUCUGUCAACUCCAAUGCGACUUUGUUUGUCUCAACUUCAAAACAUGUUCAGUUCAGAACUUGACAUGGAGGGUAUACUGAUGAUACCUAGCAGAAUGAAGCUCUGAGCUAUAUCCUCAGGAUGCGUAAAAAAAGUCGAAGGCAGCAACUCAGAAAUAGAUGAAUGUUGGAAGGAAGAUGUAUAAGGCUGAGAGGAAAUGGCAUCUUGAGUUCAACAAUUGGUGGUUCUUCAGGUCACUUUAGCGUGCAUUUUCAGCACAUCUUCCAGGCGAGGAGGACGACAGUGACGACUCCUUCAGAUUUUUUUCUGUGUUGCUACAUCGCCGGUGCAAAUUGUGGAAAUCUUCCCAUGUGGAUCAGUACAACUUAUGUACGGCCUUGAGUUCACAAAUCUUAUAUUCAUCUUUGUAGUACUUUUCGUAACACUAAGUAAAGCAAGAGUAGCCCUUUUUUUUGUGAGCAACAAUUCAAACGAAUCUGUUGUAUCAGUUCUUAUGAUAGAUAGAAGAUAAAACAAGAAAGAG